This 484-nucleotide ribosomal RNA is filed under the name uncultured bacterium. RNAcentral's name for it is "partial 16S ribosomal RNA". It matches the Rfam family "Bacterial small subunit ribosomal RNA", at positions 29 to 507 of the family's 1533-position model. The record is from RNAcentral.
CUUGAACGCUGGCGGCAUGCUUUACACAUGCAAGUCGAACGGCAGCGCGGGCUUCGGCCUGGCGGCGAGUGGCGAACGGGUGAGUAAUGCAUCGGAACGUGCCCAGUAGUGGGGGAUAGCCCGGCGAAAGCCGGAUUAAUACCGCAUACGACCUGAGGGUGAAAGCGGGGGACCGAAAGGCCUCGCGCUCUUGGAGCGGCCGAUGUCGGAUUAGCUAGUUGGUGGGGUAAAGGCUUACCAAGGCGACGAUCCGUAGCUGGUCUGAGAGGACGACCAGCCACACUGGGACUGAGACACGGCCCAGACUCCUACGGGAGGCAGCAGUGGGGAAUUUUGGACAAUGGGGGCAACCCUGAUCCAGCCAUGCCGCGUGCGGGAAGAAGGCCUUCGGGUUGUAAACCGCUUUUGUUCGGGAAGAAAUCCUCUGGGCUAAUACCCCGGGGGGAUGACGGUACCGGAAGAAUAAGCACCGGCUAACUACGUG